Molecule: ribosomal RNA, 254 nt
Filed under: uncultured archaeon
Lineage: Archaea
Description: partial 16S ribosomal RNA
Rfam family: Archaeal small subunit ribosomal RNA
Source: RNAcentral
UACCGGCAGCACGAGUGAUAGCCACUAUUAUUGGGCCUAAAGCGUCCGUAGCUGGCCGAACAGGUCCGUCGGGAAAUCCACCCGCUCAACGGGUGGGCGUCCGGCGGAAACCAGUCGGCUUGGGGCCGGAAGACCCGAGGGGUACGUCCGGGGUAGGAGUGAAAUCCUGUAAUCCUGGACGGACCGCCGGUGGCGAAAGCGCCUCGGGAAGACGGACCCGACAGUGAGGGACGAAAGCUUGGGUCUCGAACCGG